RNAcentral lists this ribosomal RNA (514 nucleotides) under uncultured bacterium. Its description in RNAcentral is "bacterial SSU rRNA". It matches the Rfam family "Bacterial small subunit ribosomal RNA", at positions 28 to 526 of the family's 1533-position model. The record is from RNAcentral.
GACGAACGCUGGCGGCGUGCUUAACACAUGCAAGUGGAGCGACGAACCAGGGGCUUGCCCCUGGGGCAGAGCCGCGAACGGGUGAGUAACACGUGGGUGACCUGCCCCGAUGAUCGGGACAACCCGGGGAAACCCGGGCUAAUACCGAAUGUGCUCCCAGCCAUAGCCGGCUGGGUGGAAAGGUAGCUUCGGCUUCCGCAUCGGGAUGGGCCCGCGGCCCAUUAGCUUGUUGGUGAGGUAACGGCUCACCAAGGCUUCGAUGGGUAGCUGGUCUGAGAGGACGAUCAGCCACACUGGGACUGAGACACGGCCCAGACUCCUACGGGAGGCAGCAGUGGGGAAUCUUGCGCAAUGCGCGAAAGCGUGACGCAGCAACGCCGCGUGGGGGAAGAAGGCCUUCGGGUUGUAAACCUCUUUCAGUUGGGACGAAGCCUCGGCGGUGAAUAGCCGUUCGAGGUGACGGUACCUUCAGAAGAAGCCCCGGCUAACUACGUGCCAGCCGCCGCAGUAACAC